GAGCAUAGCUCAGUUGGUUUAGAGCGUCUGCCUUACAAGCAGAGGGUCGGGGGUUCGACUCCCUCUGCUCCC
This 72-nucleotide transfer RNA is filed under the name human gut metagenome. It matches the Rfam family "tRNA". From Rfam's summary of the family: Transfer RNA (tRNA) molecules are approximately 80 nucleotides in length. Their secondary structure includes four short double-helical elements and three loops (D, anti-codon, and T loops). The record is from RNAcentral. RNAcentral also lists the same sequence under 3 other names.